CCUACGGGAGGCAGCAGUGGGGAAUUUUGGACAAUGGGCGCAAGCCUGAUCCAGCAAUGCCGCGUGAGUGAAGAAGGCCUUCGGGUUGUAAAGCUCUUUUGUCAGGGAAGAAACGGUAGUUCCUAAUACGGACUACUAAUGACGGUACCUGAAGAAUAAGCACCGGCUAACUACGUGCCAGCAGCCGCGGUAAUACGUAGGGUGCAAGCGUUAAUCGGAAUUACUGGGCGUAAAGCGUGCGCAGGCGGUUAUAUAAGUCAGAUGUGAAAUCCCCGGGCUCAACCUGGGAACUGCAUUUGAGACUGUAUGGCUAGAGUGUGUCAGAGGGGGGUAGAAUUCCACGUGUAGCAGUGAAAUGCGUAGAUAUGUGGAGGAAUACCGAUGGCGAAGGCAGCCCCCUGGGAUAACACUGACGCUCAUGCACGAAAGCGUGGGGAGCAAACAGGAUUAGAUACCCUGGUAGUCCACGCCCUAAACGAUGUCUACUAGUUGUCGGGACUUAAUUGUCUUGGUAACGCAGCUAACGCGUGAAGUAGACCGCCUGGGGGAGGUACGGUCGCGAGAAGUAAACUAACAAANAGAAGUUAGUACGGCGUGAGACGUAGCCGAACGGACGACGACGAGGGGAGGUUAGGG
This 636-nucleotide ribosomal RNA is filed under the name uncultured bacterium. RNAcentral's name for it is "bacterial SSU rRNA". The stretch from base 1 to 542 matches the Rfam family "Bacterial small subunit ribosomal RNA", at positions 338 to 873 of the family's 1533-position model. The record is from RNAcentral.